UAGCCAUUGGAUUUUUGUGGACAGUUACCCCUUCCCCAUUUCCUAGGCUAAGUGCUCGCACAUGUAUAAGAGGGAUGGGCUGGUAAAGUACAUGGAUGCUGAGGCCACUUCUACUGAUAUCCUAAAAUGAUGGUAGCAGUACUAACCUGAAUGAGAUUUUUUGUUGUUGUUGCAUAUCUCCCUGUACCUUUAUAGAUCUCUGCUUAAAACCAUUUCCAUAAUGGUUUUAUUAAUGCUCCCUAGACAUAGAGGGAAAUUGAGACCCUCUGAGGUUAAAGUUGUGGCUUCAGGUCAUAGAUACAGCAAUAGCAGCAUCAGGUCUAGACUUCAGUUUAUCUCGCUCUGCAUCGGUUCCCCAGGUUGUCACAUCCGGGGAUUGUCACAUUCGGGGAUCGUCACAUCCGGGGAUCUCAAUACACUCUUUUCCGAGCCGCCAUGCUGUGCCUUUUCUCUAAGUUGUGGUUCACUAACACCCACCACACAGGUCUCAGGUUCUGAGUAUUCCAGGAGGACCUUUCCUUGGCAUGUCUUCACUUAACUCCUUGAAAACCGAACGUCCUCUUGGAGUUUUGAACAAGCACCAGGUGAUUGAUUGAGUGACUUAUAAUUAUAAAAACUUUGGAGAAAUUACUUUCCAGAGUAAAAAAUUGAUUGGAUGGAUUUAAAGACUCAGAAUCACCUGUAUGUCUCCACACGUGGAAUAACCAGGUGCAUGGUCACUGAAAGUGACUUAGAAGUUACUGAGUGCACUAGGUUAACUUGACAGUUGACCUGGGAAUUCAGGAGCUGCACCACCUUCACAUUCGCCGGAUGUCACGUGCUAGAAUACCCGCCGGAUAUCACGUGAUCCCUGCCGGAAGUCGCAGGGAUGCCUUAGCCAAGCCGUGCUCCACAGGUGUGCCGCCAACCAGCACACAUGUAUUGUUCAGAGCCAAUCAGGGUCUGACGAUGUUUGCAGCGGCUGCUGUGUCAAGGUGGGCCACGGAGAACCCACGUGUUUUCUGCACCCGACCAGCUAGUAAGUAACCGUCGCUCCUGUACCACUUCUAGGUGGGUGUCCCCAGCCAUCAGGAGAAUCAUUUUU
This 1084-nucleotide long non-coding RNA is filed under the name Chinchilla lanigera (long-tailed chinchilla). Its description in RNAcentral is "lncRNA (ENSCLAG00000029260.1)". Lineage: Eukaryota; Metazoa; Chordata; Mammalia; Rodentia; Chinchillidae. The record is from RNAcentral.